Molecule: ribosomal RNA, 635 nt
Filed under: uncultured bacterium
Lineage: Bacteria
Description: bacterial SSU rRNA
Rfam family: Bacterial small subunit ribosomal RNA
Source: RNAcentral
GAAAGGUAUGCUAAUACGGGAUAAUAUAUUUGAGAGGCAUCUCUUAAAUAUCAAAGGUGAGCCAGUACAGGAUGGACCCGCGUCUGAUUAGCUAGUUGGUAAGGUAACGGCUUACCAAGGCGACGAUCAGUAGCCGACCUGAGAGGGUGAUCGGCCACAUUGGAACUGAGACACGGUCCAAACUCCUACGGGAGGCAGCAGUGGGGAAUAUUGCACAAUGGGCGAAAGCCUGAUGCAGCAACGCCGCGUGAGUGAUGAAGGCCUUCGGGUCGUAAAACUCUGUCCUCAAGGAAGAUAAUGACGGUACUUGAGGAGGAAGCCCCGGCUAACUACGUGCCAGCAGCCGCGGUAAUACGUAGGGGGCUAGCGUUAUCCGGAUUUACUGGGCGUAAAGGGUGCGUAGGCGGUCUUUCAAGUCAGGAGUGAAAGGCUACGGCUCAACCGUAGUAAGCUCUUGAAACUGGGAGACUUGAGUGCAGGAGAGGAGAGUGGAAUUCCUAGUGUAGCGGUGAAAUGCGUAGAUAUUAGGAGGAACACCAGUUGCGAAGGCGGCUCUCUGGACUGUAACUGACGCUGAGGCACGAAAGCGUGGGGAGCAAACAGGAUUAGAUACCCUGGUAGUCCACGCUGUAAAC